ACUCCUACGGGAGGCAGCAGUGGGGAAUAUUGCACAAUGGGCGCAAGCCUGAUGCAGCCAUGCCGCGUGUGUGAAGAAGGCCUUCGGUGUUGAUAAGCACUUUCAGCAGUGAGGAAGGUGGGUGUGUUAAUAGCAUACUCAUUUGACGUUAGCUGCAGAAGAAGCACCGGCUAACUCCGUGCCAGCAGCCGCGGUAAUACGGAGGGUGCGAGCGUUAAUCGGAAUUACUGGGCGUAAAGCGCAUGCAGGUGGUUUGUUAAGUCAGAUGUGAAAGCCCGGGGCUCAACCUCGGAAUUGCAUUUGAAACUGGCAAACUAGAGUACUGUAGAGGGGGGUGAGAAUUUCAGGUGUAGCGGUGAAAUGCGUAGAGAUCUGAAGGAAUACCGGUGGCGAAGGCGGCCCCCUGGACAGAUACUGACACUCAGAUGCGAAAGCGUGGGGAGCAAACAGGAUUAGAUACCCUGGUAGGAUAGCGU
Molecule: ribosomal RNA, 476 nt
Filed under: uncultured bacterium
Lineage: Bacteria
Description: bacterial SSU rRNA
Rfam family: Bacterial small subunit ribosomal RNA
Source: RNAcentral